Molecule: ribosomal RNA, 460 nt
Filed under: uncultured bacterium
Lineage: Bacteria
Description: partial 16S ribosomal RNA
Rfam family: Bacterial small subunit ribosomal RNA
Source: RNAcentral
CCUACGGGUGGCAGCAGUGAGGAAUAUUGGUCAAUGGCCGGAAGGCUGAACCAGCCAUGCCGCGUGAAGGUCAGUGCCCUAUGGGCGUUAAACUUCUUUUGUGCGGGAGCAAUAAUGGUCACGUGUGGCCAGACGAGAGUACCGUACGAAUAAGCAUCGGCUAACUCCGUGCCAGCAGCCGCGGUAAUACGGGGGAUGCAAGCGUUAUCCGGAUUUAUUGGGUUUAAAGGGUGCGUAGGCUGUGAGGUAAGUCAGCGGUGAAAUGCCCCCGCUCAACGGGGUGAAGUGCCAUUGAUACUGCCUGGCUGGAAUGCGGAUGCGGUGGGAGGAAUGUGUGGUGUAGCGGUGAAAUGCAUAGAGAUCACAAAGAACACCGAUUGCGAAGGCAUCUCACGAAUCCGCGAUUGACGCUGAUGCACGAAAGCGUGGGUAUCAAACAGGAUUAGAUACCCCAGUAGUC